Molecule: small RNA, 76 nt
Filed under: Flavobacterium segetis
Lineage: Bacteria; Pseudomonadati; Bacteroidota; Flavobacteriia; Flavobacteriales; Flavobacteriaceae
Description: Flavo-1 RNA
Rfam family: Flavo-1 RNA
Source: RNAcentral
UUUUAGCCCUGAUAAAAGCGGUAUCCUUUCACUGGCUUCUCUUGCCAGGGAAAGAUAAAGCGGAUAGGUACUAUCU